GCCUCCUUAGCUCAGUGGUAGAGCAACGCUCUUGUAAAGCGUAGGUCGUCAGUUCAAUCCUGACAGGGGGCUCCC
This 75-nucleotide transfer RNA is filed under the name Mycolicibacterium litorale. RNAcentral describes it as "tRNA-Thr". It matches the Rfam family "tRNA". From Rfam's summary of the family: Transfer RNA (tRNA) molecules are approximately 80 nucleotides in length. Their secondary structure includes four short double-helical elements and three loops (D, anti-codon, and T loops). The record is from RNAcentral. Lineage: Bacteria; Bacillati; Actinomycetota; Actinomycetes; Mycobacteriales; Mycobacteriaceae.